Long non-coding RNA from Choloepus didactylus (southern two-toed sloth), 604 nucleotides. RefSeq lists it as uncharacterized. The record is from RefSeq and is a predicted model, not a curated record. The transcript has 4 exons. Lineage: Eukaryota; Metazoa; Chordata; Mammalia; Pilosa; Megalonychidae.
CCUGGCCGGCGGCUGCAGGGCACAGGGGGUGCUGUCGGUCGUCCCCGCCCCCGCCGUCCGCCCCCAAACACCCUACCCCUCAGCCCAGCGGCCUUCCCAGCCCGAGGACAUCCUCCUGCCUCCGACACUCGCCGUGCGCAGCCGGUUCCUGCUAACAGGGUCUGACUAACCCAAACCCCAGGUUGGGUGUCCAGAAGCCAAGGUCUCUGCCUGACCCCUGCAAAGUCAGAAUCGAAGCCUAGGGGAACCAGGACUACCGUGGCUUCUCCCCUCUCGGAUGGAGUGAUCAUGCAGAAGAGGCAGGAAUGACUUCCCCCAAAUGUUAAUCACAGCUGGAUUGAAAGAAUAUUCGGGAAAUGUGGCAAUAUUGCUUAUAUAAGCAUCCUGCAUUAUAAGUCUAUUGGAGAUCCAAAGGGAUUUGCCUUUGUGGAAUCUGAGACAAAAAAACAAGCAUCAAAAGUUAUUGAGCUGAUGGAAUAAACCUGGGCCGCAACAUCACCUCUCCUGGAUGCCAUUUUCUCAUUUCUACAUUGGAAAGAAGGAGCAAUUGUCAGAAUCCUCACUGACCACUACUGGAAAACCCCAGAUGCACGACAAUGGGCCU